UCGAACGGUUAAAGCACCUUCGGGUGUGUAUAGAGUGGCGAACGGCUGAGUAACACGUGGGCAACCUGCCCUUUGCAUCGGGACAGCCUCGGGAAACCGUGGUUAAUACCGGAUACUCCAUCUUUCUCACAUGAAAAAGAUGGGAAAGUGUUUAGCGGCAAGGGAUGGGCCCGCGCCCUGUUAGCUUGUUGGUGGGGUAAAAGCCUACCAAGGCAAUGAUGGGUAGCCGGGUUGAGAGACCGACCGGCCAGAUUGGGACUGAGACACGGCCCAGACUCCUACGGGAGGCAGCAGUGGGGAAUCUUGCACAAUGGGCGAAAGCCUGAUGCAGCGACGCCGCGUGCGGGAUGAAGGCCUUCGGGUUGUAAACCGCUUUCAGCAGGGACGAGGCGAAAGUGACGGUACCUGUAGAAGAAGCCCCGGCUAACUACGUGCCAGCAGCCGCGGUAAUACGUAGGGGGCAAGCGUUAUCCGGAUUCAUUGGGCGUAAAGCGCGCGUAGGCUGCCCAGUAGGUCGAGAGUUAAAUCCGGGGGCUCAACCCCCGUCCGCUCCCGACACCGCUGGGCUUCGAGUCUGGUAGGGGAAGGUGGAAUUCCCAGUGUAGCGGUGGAAUGCGCAGAUAUUGGGAAGAACACCGGUGGCGAAGGCGGCCUUCUGGGCCAUGACUGGCGCUGAGGCGCGAAAGCUAGGGGAGCGAAUAGGAUU
Molecule: ribosomal RNA, 706 nt
Filed under: uncultured Olsenella sp.
Lineage: Bacteria; Bacillati; Actinomycetota; Coriobacteriia; Coriobacteriales; Atopobiaceae
Description: bacterial SSU rRNA
Rfam family: Bacterial small subunit ribosomal RNA
Source: RNAcentral